This 301-nucleotide ribosomal RNA is filed under the name uncultured bacterium. RNAcentral's name for it is "partial 16S ribosomal RNA". It matches the Rfam family "Bacterial small subunit ribosomal RNA", at positions 509 to 807 of the family's 1533-position model. The record is from RNAcentral.
CAGCAGCCGCGGGAACACGUAGGGUGCGAGCGUUAAUCGGAAUUACUGGGCGUAAAGCGUGCGCAGGCGGUUCGUUAAGACAGAUGUGAAAUCCCCGGGCUUAACCUGGGAACUGCAUUUGUGACUGGCGAGCUAGAGUAUGGCAGAGGGGGGUAGAAUUCCACGUGUAGCAGUGAAAUGCGUAGAGAUGUGGAGGAAUACCGAUGGCGAAGGCAGCCCCCUGGGCCAAUACUGACGCUCAUGCACGAAAGCGUGGGGAGCAAACAGGAUUAGAUACCCGAGUAGUCCCUGUCUCUUAUAC